CCUACGGGAGGCUGCAGUGGGGAAUAUUGGACAAUGGGGGGAACCCUGAUCCAGCCAUGCCGCGUGUGUGAAGAAGGCCCUCGGGUUGUAAAGCACUUUCAGUGAGGAAGAACGCCUGGUGGUUAAUACCCAUCAGGAAAGACAUCACUCACAGAAGAAGCACCGGCUAACUCCGUGCCAGCAGCCGCGGUAAUACGGAGGGUGCGAGCGUUAAUCGGAAUUACUGGGCGUAAAGCGCGCGUAGGUGGCUUGAUAAGCCGGUUGUGAAAGCCCCGGGCUCAACCUAGGAACGGCAUCCGGAACUGUCAAGCUAGAGUGCAGGAGAGGAAGGUAGAAUUCCCGGUGUAGCGGUGAAAUGCGUAGAGAUCGGGAGGAAUACCAGUGGCGAAGGCGGCCUUCUGGACUGACACUGACACUGAGGUGCGAAAGCGUGGGUAGCAAACAGGAUUAGAUACCCCUGUAGUC
Molecule: ribosomal RNA, 465 nt
Filed under: Vreelandella stevensii
Lineage: Bacteria; Pseudomonadati; Pseudomonadota; Gammaproteobacteria; Oceanospirillales; Halomonadaceae
Description: partial 16S ribosomal RNA
Rfam family: Bacterial small subunit ribosomal RNA
Source: RNAcentral